GGAAUAUAAAAAUCCGUCUGUUAACCUUUAACUAGAAAAACUAAGAACCGAUUCUUAAAUAAGAGUUUUAAAAACCGGUUCUUAACUUUUGUUGUUAAAAGUUAAGAGACGAAUUCUUAUAUUAC
Molecule: non-coding RNA, 125 nt
Organism: Brassica napus (rape)
Lineage: Eukaryota; Viridiplantae; Streptophyta; Magnoliopsida; Brassicales; Brassicaceae
Source: Rfam